Small nuclear RNA from Meriones unguiculatus (Mongolian gerbil), 107 nucleotides. The record is from Ensembl. Lineage: Eukaryota; Metazoa; Chordata; Mammalia; Rodentia; Muridae.
GCGCUGACUUCCACAGCACAUAUACUAAAAUUGGAACAAUAUCAGUAAGAUUAGCAUGGCCCCUGAUCAAGGAUGACACACAAAUUCGUGAAGAGUUCCAUAUUUUA